UCUAAUCACUUCUACUAACUACUUCUACUUCUACUCACUUCUACUAAGUACUUCUACUUCUACUCACUUCUACUUCUAUUCACUUCUACUCACUUCUACUAACUACUUCUACUUCCACUCACUUCUACUAAGUACUCACUUCUACUUCUAUUCACUUCUACUCACUUCUUCUAACUACUCACUUCUACUAACUACUCACUUCUACUUCUAACUACUUCUACUCACUUCUACUUCUACUUCUACUCACUUCUACUAACUACUUCUACUCACUUCUACUAACUACUUCUACUCACUUCUACUAACUACUCACUUCUACUUCUAACUACUUCUACUCACUUCUACUUCUACUUCUACUCACUUCUACUAACUACUUCUACUCACUUCUACUAACUACUCACUUCUACUUCUAACUACUUCUACUCACUUCUACUUCUACUCACUUCUACUAAGUACUUCUACGUCUAUUCACUUCUACUUCUAUUCACUUCUACUAACUACUUCUACUCACUUCUACUAACUACUCACUUCUACUUCUAACUACUUCUACUUCUACUCACUUCUACUUCUACUCACUUCUACUUCUACUCACUUCUACUUCUACUCACUUCUACUAACUACUUCUACUCACUUCUACUUCUACUCACUUCUACUUCUACUCACUUCUACUUCUAUUCACUUCUACUAACUACUCACUUCUACUUCUACUCACUUCUACUAAGUACUUCUACGUCUAUUCACUUCUACUUCUAUUCACUUCUACUAACACUUCUACUUCUACUCACUUCUACUUCUACUCACUUCUACUAACUUCUACUCACUUCUACUUACUACUUCUACUCACUUCUACUUACUACUUCUACUCACUUCUACUUCUAUUCACUUCUACUCACUUCUAACUACUUCUACUUCUACUCACUUCUAUUCACUUCUACUUCUAUUCACUUCAAUUCACUUCUACUUCUAUUCUAUUCUACUACUUCUAUUCACUUCUACUUCUAACUACUUCUAUUCACUUCUACUUCUAUUCACUUCUACUUACUUCUAACUAUUCCUACUUCUAACUACUUCUAUUCACAUCUACCUACUUCUAUUUACUUUUAUUCACUUCUACUUCUAACCGCUUCUAUUCAAUUCGAACCACAUCUAACUACUUCUACUCACUUCUAACUACUUCGACUUCUAUCCACUUCUACUUCUGACUACUUCUACCUAUUUCUUCUUACUUCUAUUCACUACUACUUCUAACUACUUCUACCUACUUCUAACCACUUCUAUUCCCUUCUACCUACUUCUAUUCACUUCUACUUCUACCUACUUCUAUUCACUUCUAACUACUUCUAAUUCUAACUACUGCUAUUCACUUCUACUUCUAACUACUUCUACUUCUAUUCACUUCUAACCACUUCUACUUCUAACUACUACUAACUUCUAACUACUUCUAUUCACUUCUAAUUUUAAAAACUUUUAACAAUUUGUAAUUAUUUUUUUUUUAACCCAAGGAUAUCAGAAUAUCCAUUAUAUCACAGAAAAGCAUGGGAAAUGGUCUGCACUUUCUUAACCCCUAUGGUUCUAAAGCGCUUUACACUGGUUCUCAUUCACCCAUUCACACACACACACACACCAAUGGUAGCAGAGUUGCCACGCAAGGUGCUAACUUGACAUUAGGAGGAACUUGGGGUUCAGUGUCUUGCCCAAGGACACUUAGGCGUAUGGAGUCAAAUGGGCGGUGAAUCAAACCGCCAACCCUGCGGUUAGUGGACAACCCGCUCUACCACCUGAUCCACAGCCUCCCACAAUGCCACAGCAUAGGGAAUUUUAUCGCAAGAUCAAUAUAUAUUCAUACUGCCCAGGGCUGUUCCUCACUUUUAGCAGAUUUCACUUCAUGAAGCUCGGGGAUUAACAUUAAUCUUACCUCACACCUCGGGACAGUCACCAUACUGUUUAUCUCUAUUAGUAUUUACUCUAAUGCAUAUAAUAGCAAUUCCCAGAGUUAGGGCUAUUUUGUAAACGAUACCACACUAGAGCUAUUCUCUCUUUAGCUUUUUAUAUAUUCAUAUUUCUGACCCUGUAGAGUCUAUAACUGGACAUAUGAAGCAGCUCAAACAAACGUUCACUUUUCCACUUAA
Ictalurus punctatus (channel catfish) is the source of this 2126-nucleotide long non-coding RNA. NCBI's taxonomy places the organism in Eukaryota, Metazoa, Chordata, Actinopteri, Siluriformes, Ictaluridae. The record is from Ensembl.